GUCACAAUCCUUCCCAUCUCAAUAUGUGCACUGCAAUGAUUAACUGCAACAAUGGGCUUCUUCCAAAGCUAUGAAAGAACCCCAACAACAAUGGCAGCAACUUGUAAUGGUGCUCCCAUGCCAGGACCCUUGGUGUAACAAAGGCAAUAAAUUUCCUUGGGCGUUAUUUGGGCAGUUUCCAAAGCAGAUUUAAUCAGCGGGUGAAUGAGUUGGAGAUGGUGCGGUGCAGUUUCGAGGGAAGGAGCCCUUGGCCGUGAGGGGUAAUGUAUGUGGUGAGCGAGUUCGACAAAAUUGUUACCCCAACACCAAUCUUGUUGGCUGAACCCUCAAACCCUAGAGCUAUCAUCUUCUUCAUUCUUGUAGAAGGCACACUGUGUAAAUCAAAAGGAAAUUCAAACAAAGUCCAAAAUAUUCGACUCACAAAUACUUUUUAUGAACCUUGUCUGCAAUAUAUUCUGGGUGGCUUAAUUUCCAUGGAACUGGCAAAGUUUGAUCAGUGGAUACGAUUCAAAUGGGCAAAAGGCUCAGGAUCAGCUUUGGGAGCUGGUUUAACCUCCUUAGGGUCUCCAAAAGCAUUCCAUAACUUCAGUGUUUCAUGAGCUGCUGAUGCUACUGUGCAACCAUUUGGGCUCUGAGCCAUAUAAAGGACUGUAGAAGUAUGACCAGUGAGUUCUGCAAUUCUAAACAUUGAUGGGUAUUUCCAAAGAGUAAGCUGAUUCUGAGAAAACCCAUGUGCGCUAAGCAGCUCUCGUUCAUUCAUAUUCCACAGCAAAGCACAAACCUCAGAGCCAGUGUCAACAGAGUUCAGGCAUGCACCUGUGUGAGUGUUCCAGAACUUUAUGCACCCAUCAUCAUUCCCACCUCCACCAGAAGCUAGCAAAUUUCUCUGGAAAGGACACCAAGCAAGGGCUUUUACAGCAGCUGUAUGGUCUUGAAGCCUGUGAAGCCACCGUGUUCGUGAAUAUGAUCUGUUGUCCCAUAUAUGGAGCAGGUUAUCAUUUCCUCCACUUGCUAAUUGCUGGCCCGAAGCCGACCAUUUAAGCCCACAAACUUCUUGCUCAUGUCCUCUGUAUGUCUCAACAACAAUGUGGGAUCCAAUUCUUACAUCAUUGUUAACGAUGCGGCCAUCCAUUCCUCCAGUUGUAAGAAUGUGAUUGUUCCAUGCCAGUGAGCCUACUCCCGAUAGGUGGCAACCUCUCAAGGUUAUCACAUGAGAACUGGCAGCUGUAUCCCAUAGCUCUACUUCGGAAUUGUUCAGUCCAAUGGCAAUCUGGCGUCCAUCAAUAGCCCAGUUGACGCUGGUAACAGGUCCCCUUUCAUCCUCAAAUGUGGCCAGUUCCCAAGUAGAAUCAUCUGUAGCAUCCCACAAAUAAACUUUGUUUGCAAGAGCUAUUGCAAGAACAUUGGAGCUUCCCCAAUCCAACAAAUUAAGGUAGUAAUCAUCUAUAAGGUCGGGAGCAUCAAGUGUUCUGUCUGCACUUUGAGAAAUAUAUCUUCUUCGUGCCUUUGGGGGGUUUGAUUCAGUAGGUUUAUCUGAAGAGAAGUUGCUUGGGAAGAGCUCUACAGGGGGAGGAGUCUUGUUCUUGAAAGCAAGAAUUCUACUGCGGUUCAUGUUCAUGGCCUCAGCCAACUGCUUCCGAUAGCCUACUCCAUAUCUAGGUGGGUUUUCCUUACCUUUCCUAGUACUACUACCCUGAUGAGUAAGCAUGUAAAAUGCAUAAUCAAAGUCCAUGGCGGACCGGUUUGGUAUGAACCGGUCCCAAUUUUCUCGGGAAUUCCUUUUCUGAAGAAGCUGUUGUUCAAGAGGGCACCACCUAGACUGCGACCUCAAGGUACUCAUUGUUACAUUUGCAAAUAUGAAACCCAAAAAUUAAAAAUUAAAAAACACAGAAUAUGAGAGACACAGACAAAUAAACAGGGAGAGAGAGCAGUCAAAAAUCAAUAUAAUUGAAGCAGAUUUUCCUUCAGAACAACCAAAAUCAUAUGCAAACUUCAAAAACCAACUAAGAUCCUGUAGAAACCCUAAGAAAUCAAACUUCAAAAAAAAAAAACAGAGAAUAUGAGAGACACAAAUAAAUAAACAGAGAGAGCAGUCGAAAAUCAGUAUAAUUGAAGCACAACCAAAAGCAUAGACAAACUUCACAAACCAACUAAGCUCCCGUAGAAACCCUAAAUGAAAUCAAAUUUAACUAAAGGCAAUAGAAACGCAGACAGGGCUCAGAUAUUGUCAAUUCAAAAUUUUAGCAGAAAAAUAUACACACAAAAAAACUGAGUCUAACUAACCGAAUUAUCGAUACGACGGGACCUAAAUUGCCUCCGAACAAAGCAUUCAGCUGAGGCUUUCGAUUGGUUUCUUCGUCUGCCCACACUCACCGAUGCUCAAUCAAUUCCACCUCAAUUGUUAGCCCAAAGCGGAAUCGUAAUGUAUUCUCAGAGAUCGAAUCGAAGAAAAUUGAACUCGGGUUUGAUGCUCAAAGAUGUAUAUAUAUGUACGUUCGACGCGUAGAAUACGCAUGGAAUACGCGUAUCCCAUUAGUGGAAUACGCGUAUUUCACGCGUAUUCCACGAGUGAAAUACGCGUACUCGACGCGUAUCAGCUUGAUAGCUACGACCGGCGACAACCUCUCUCUCUCUCCCUCCCUCUCUCCUAGAUGAGUUUUGCUAUUUGAUUACAGGUUGAAAGAAAAAUGGUUAGAAAACAAGAAGCAGACUUACGAUCUGGGUUGCUGAUUUUAUGAAGGUUUUUUUUUUUUUGGUGGUCUGAACAUCAUCACUGCACAUGUCAUGCCUUCGAUUAUUUCUUCAUUCCCGAUCCUGAAAUUAGUAUUUUUAUCAAUGUUGGAGAGUGGAAUUAGAUGGUAUGAAUGCUUAAACUGUUGAAAAUAAUUAAAGGCUAAAAAAAAAAAGAUUUUCUAUUAUUUCAAUCAAACCCAAUUAAUCUAGUUAGUUUCAUACUUAAUUUACUCGUGUAGGCAUUUUUGAACAUUUAAUUCAAGUGAUGGAUAUAAAUAGGUGCUCGUACAUAAACGUAAUGAGAAAAAUGAAAUUUUGAGAUGAUAAAAACAGAAAAACAGGACUCGUUGCACGAGGUUUCUCAUAUAGACCUAGAAUCGAUUAGGAGAAUACAUUCAGAGCUCCAUUUUGGAAGAGUUUACUGUUUAUUGAUCUAAUUUUGGUGAAUUUGAUAAUACAUCUGUCACUAAUUUUAACUUAAAUUUGCAGAAAAUAGAAGAAAUUGUAGUAAGAAUUCUUGCAAACUAAAAUAUUCAAAAGUACCUGUAAUAUAUUCAAGUUCAAAGUACAACCGUAGUACGAGCUAAAGCCCAACAAAACAGUAUCAAUACACUGAUGAUAUUAUGUGCUUCUUGGCCUCGGAAAAUCAUUCCAAUCAAAGUUAAUAAGGCUUGAAAGGACUUUAGCCUUGCCUGAUAAACCUAAUAAAAAACAAUACAUUAAUCUACAGAGCCAAAUAGAGAUCGAAUUGAGGUUGAUGCAUACAGGCUUGAACCUGUCAAUUGGAAAACAUGAAAACAUUGUAAGCAAAGCAAAGAGGAUUUCAUUUCACAUAUAUAUGUUUUUUUAACAUUCGUUUAAGGAAAAGAAAGAUCUCUUCAAACUAUCUUUCAAGUGUAAGGGAGAAAAAUAAAUAUUGUCUUCUAAUCUAACCAUUUUUCUUCCUCAGUCAUCAAACAAUCCUCUAUGAGGAAGUUAUGUGAAGUACUUCACAACUCAUGUGGAAUGAAGAAAUAGGCCAUGUGACAGACUAAUUUGCAGCUGUUUUCAAUAUGAAGUUUGAUGCAGGAGCAGCAGGACAGAAGCUUAUAUACAUGCAUACACAUAUAGACAUACGCAGAAAAACACACACACACAUAAACACGUGCUCACACAUUAACAUACUGUUAUUUUGAUUUGUGUCUUUUAGUGUUAUUUAAUUGGAUUUUCCUUUUGGGAAAAGAAACACAAAGACAAACUUUAUUGAUAAAAAGAAGAAAAAUUACAGGCAUGGACAAGAUAAGUACUCCUUAGGUGCUUAAAGCAGGAAAAGAUAUAAAAAUGAAUAUGAACGAUGUAUUCCUUAGGCAAAGGCUUAGACAAUCAUACUAAACAGUCUUUACAUAGUUCAAUGGUCGGAAACUCAAAGCUAAUUACUCAUGCAAAUAUCUUCCCAGUGUCUUUCUGUACAAGAAACACCAUACCUCAAGAAUUAUAAGAUUUAGGUAGUCUCAUCCAUGAAGCCGUUUAAGUUUUUCUGACUCCUCUUUUAGUCUCCAGAUUGCUUCCACUUCAUCAGUUCGGAAACGUUGCGUAAAAGUAGAUUCCUCAAACAGAGUUGAUGCGCCAUGAACAAAAGCAAGAAGACCAGUAUAAGCAAUCAUGGCACCGUUAUCAAUACAAUACCUAUCAUCAGUUGCAAACAACCUUCCACCCCGUUCAGAGCACAUAGUUCUCAUCAUCUCUUGCAAGCGUUCAUUGCAACCUACACCGCCAACAAUAAGGACAUCUUUCUUGUCACAAUGUGCCAUUGCACGCUCCGUUAUCUCCACAAGCAUUGCAAACACAUUUUCCUGAACCAAAUUAAUAAAAUUAAAUAAAUCAUGUAAGUAGUCCAUCAUUACAGUCAUCAUUCUUCAUCUUUUGCUUGCAGAGAGUUUAUUAAAUUGGAAAUUCUUUGUCGCUCUUUUUUCCUGAUAAGUCCCAUUUGCUGAAACCUAUUUUCCCAUCAAAAUAGCUUUGAUUCCAAAGUUUACCUGGAGUGAGUAGCAUAGAUCUGCAGGGGUGCACUCGCUAUUCUUGAGCUUCUCCACAGCAGUGGCUUCAAUGUAGCUCAAAAUUCCACUAAAAGACACAUCCAUCCCUUUCACAGCAUAAGGAAGGUCUAUAUACUGUUCUCCUUUCUUUGCAAGCUGGGAGGGGAAGGAAUCACACAAGUCAUGAUGGAAGCACUUCCACAAAAUAUUCAACUAAAGCACGGGAUAGAAACGUAGCUCAAAUCAAACAAUAAGAAUAAUAGUGGUAAUAAUGAUGACACUAAUGAUGAUGAUAAUUCAACUUCAAGAGUUAUUACAUAUGGAUUUCUUAUGCCCAUUCAGUGCAAUAAGAUUGACUGCAUCACCUGAUCACCCUAUAAUUUGGCAAACUAUAUGACUCUAGUUUAUAGAGAUGACUAUGAGUUUGAAACCGCCUGUAAACAUUAUGGAACUAAAAAUGUAUUAAAAAGAUAAUCAACUACCCAACCAUGAUGGGUUCACACACUUCAAAUUGAUUCACCAUAUACAGGAAUGCAAUAGGCCACCCACAAUAGAAUAUAUAGAAAUCACAUUGGCAACAUUUUAAAUUUCAAAAAAUGUUCAUAAAAAAAAGUACAGAAAUUAACAACCAACAUUCUCACAGUGCAAGCAGGAAGAAAACUCCAAAUCAGAUUUCUUCAAUUUUAAUAAGAUCUAUGAACAGGUACCAUGUGAAAUAGAUCAUACAAAAUAUGGCCACUCAACCUCUUCUCUAAAACUAGAGGCCACUUACGCAAAAAGGAAGAGGGAAGCCAUUUCACCUUCUAUCUAAAUAAAUGCCACUAGCUCCCAUAUGAUACACUUUUCCUGUUUCGUUUUCUUUUUGGGGUCACAAUAAGAUUUUUCUGAACUACUCUAGUAGAAGAAAAUGCUGAAUCAUAUAAGGUCAAAUAUUAGAAUUAUCCUUUUUCAGACCUUGCAUGUUAAAUCUCUCUUGUUGCCAGAUUGUUGCGUCUUUAUGAUUAAGAAAUCAAAUUCAGUCCAGCCCAAGUUAAACUCCAACAUAGUAACAAGUAAGAACAGCUAGUUCUCAGAUUUCUUGGAAAAAGAAAGGAAAUCUUGAUAAGAUAACAACUUAAAAGGAUUCCACAGAAAAAGAAAAGCAUCCAUGAAUGCCAAUUUCAACCUCCACUGAUUCAAUGGAACAAAACAUACCACAUUCAAAUACCUGCUCAAUGUUAUAUCCAGGGCUUGGGUCAUUGGAGAGUGUUAAUACCCUGGCGAACCGAUCCAAGCAAUUUCCAACAGCGAUAUCAAUGGUCUCUCCAAAGAUUCGAUACCUCCCUUCACUGUAUGCAAUUACCUGUGUGUUCCCACCACUGACAUACAACACAACAGGAUCAUCUGCACCUGUCACAAUCCUUCCCAUCUCAAUAUGUGCAACGCAAUGAUUAACUGCAACAAUGGGCUUCUUCCAAAGCUGUGAAAGAACCCUAACAACAAUAGCAGCAACUUGUAAUGGUGCUCCCAUGCCAGGACCCUUGGUGUAACAAAGGCAAUCAAUUUCCUUGGGCGUUAUUUGGGCAGUUUCCAGAGCAGAUUUAAUCAGGGGGAGAAUGUGUUGGAGAUGGUGUUGUGCAGUUUCGCGGGGAAGGAACCCUUGGCCGGGAGGGGUA
This 6403-nucleotide long non-coding RNA is filed under the name Prunus persica (peach). RNAcentral's name for it is "long non-coding RNA (PPER_LNC000795)". The record is from RNAcentral. Lineage: Eukaryota; Viridiplantae; Streptophyta; Magnoliopsida; Rosales; Rosaceae.